Molecule: ribosomal RNA, 446 nt
Filed under: uncultured bacterium
Lineage: Bacteria
Description: SSU rRNA
Rfam family: Bacterial small subunit ribosomal RNA
Source: RNAcentral
AGAGCGAACGCUGGCGGCAGGCUUAACACAUGCAAGUCGAGCGGAUGUAGCAAUACAUCAGCGGCAGACGGGUGAGUAACACGUGGGAACGUACCUUUUGGUUCGGAACAACACAGGGAAACUUGUGCUAAUACCGGAUAAGCCCUUACGGGGAAAGAUUUAUCGCCGAAAGAUCGGCCCGCGUCUGAUUAGCUAGUUGGUGAGGUAAUGGCUCACCAAGGCGACGAUCAGUAGCUGGUCUGAGAGGAUGAUCAGCCACAUUGGGACUGAGACACGGCCCAAACUCCUACGGGAGGCAGCAGUGGGGAAUAUUGGACAAUGGGCGCAAGCCUGAUCCAGCCAUGCCGCGUGAGUGAUGAAGGCCCUAGGGUUGUAAAGCUCUUUUGCCCGCGACGAUGAUGACGGUAGCGGGAGAGAAGCCCGGCUAACUUCGCGCCAGCAGCCGC